GUGUGGGUCGGCUCGCGGGACCAUCACUCCACUCGAAGUCCAGCAUUGAGUAUGGCUUCACUGGAUUUGGCCCAUAGAGGGUGAGAGGCCCGUACGGGUGGAGGUUCAGACAUGUGCGAUGGUUCACCAGGCCGGCCUCAGAGUCGGGUUGUUUGAGAUUGCAGCCCAAAGAGGGUGGUAAACUCCAUCCAAGGCUAAAUACUGCCACGAGUCCGAUAGCGAACAAGUACCAUGAGGGAAAGUUGAAAAGUACUCUGAAGAGAGAGUAAACAGUACGUGAAGCCGCAUGCAGGUAAACGGGUGGCGUCAAGCUGCGAGCCCGGAGGAUUCAGCUGACUGGGAUGUAGUGUACGCGCGCCUGGUGCGUCGAGAGGCCGGAGUAAGAUGUUUGGCGGUCCACUCCUCUCUCGGGAGUGGGGCGCGAUCGAUGUGCGCUUGCGUAUGUCGGUUGUCGCUAUGCAUGCCGGGUGGGUGCCGGAGCAUGCCGCUCGUCUGUUGGGCCACCUAGUCAGUGCAUUUUCUCCGUGGUGAACACCACGACCGGUGGGACUGCCAGUCUGCUGCGAGCAAGUCGUGUCCUCCUGAUUACCUUGUGUGUUGGGUGGGCGCGAUCGCAGGCGGAAUGGGUGAACGGCGCAGUGGUACCUCGGUGCUGCCGCGUGUUAUCGUGCACUCUCCGUUGUAAGCGGUUAGUGGGUUAGUGCUGUGACUACUUGCCCUCUGAUCGGCGGCUCGUAGUGGUGAAAGUAACUGUGCAGGGCACCGGAGUUCUCCACCUCAUUCAAUAUGGUACUCGGCACGCACGUCAUAGGUGCUGUUGAAUCGGGAUGCGCCGCUGUCUGCCUAGUGUUGGGCCUGACUGUCGUGUUGCCUGCGCAAAGUGGGUCCGGCGGUGGCUUCGAUGCUGGGCAGCUCUGCAGUGUGUUGCGUGUCUCGGGUGUCUGUAGUGCCGGGGGUGAAAUAGUCAGUGGUGCUGUGGUAGACGAGCUACCCGACCCGUCUUGAAACACGGACCAAGGAGUUUAACAUGUGUGCGAGUCAAAGGGUCCUACGAAACCCCUAGGCGCAGUGAAAGUGAAGUUCAUGCUGCACUUCUGCACAUACGCGGUGCAGCGUGGCGAGGUGAGAUCUCGUUGUACUCAUGACACACGCCGUAGACCUCUCUACUGGGCACUAUAACUGGGGCAACGAGCGCAUCACCGGCCCGUCUCAUGAUGUGGUCAUGGGUGUACUUGCGCGUGGAGUGG
Molecule: ribosomal RNA, 1247 nt
Filed under: Rodentolepis gnoskei
Lineage: Eukaryota; Metazoa; Platyhelminthes; Cestoda; Cyclophyllidea; Hymenolepididae
Description: partial 28S ribosomal RNA
Rfam family: Eukaryotic large subunit ribosomal RNA
Source: RNAcentral